UACGAAGGGGGGCUAGCGUUGCUCGGAAUUACUGGGCGUAAAGGGAGCGUAGGCGGAUAGUUUAGUCAGAGGUGAAAGCCCAGGGCUCAACCUUGGAAUUGCCUUUGAUACUGGCUAUCUUGAGUACGGAAGAGGUAUGUGGAACUCCGAGUGUAGAGGUGAAAUUCGUAGAUAUUCGGAAGAACACCAGUGGCGAAGGCGACAUACUGGUCCGUUACUGACGCUGAGGCUCGAAAGCGUGGGGAGCAAACAGGG
RNAcentral lists this ribosomal RNA (255 nucleotides) under uncultured bacterium. RNAcentral's name for it is "partial 16S ribosomal RNA". It matches the Rfam family "Bacterial small subunit ribosomal RNA", at positions 524 to 777 of the family's 1533-position model. The record is from RNAcentral.